CGUGAAGCUCUGUCUCGAGGGUGCAGAAGUAGCAGUAUUGCAAUAGACAAUGUCUCAGAGGAUAGAAGGUUUCUGGCAAAUCAGGUAUCAGAAUUCUCCAGGAGGCCAAUACCAUCACAUUCCUCAUCCAAUAGCAGCAGCUUCUGUAGCGCCCACGGCAGUGAGAGCUCCCCUGAGGACAAGAUAAUGGACGGCCCCUUAAAGUGACAGCUUCUCAUAGGUCAUAUGCUUGUGAAGAUAUCAUGAUUUAACAGGAUGUCAUUGGCCAUUUUAAGAAGACCUGGGAUUCAGGAGAUCCCACACCAAUCUCAGCUGCAAAUAUAUAACGUUACCCCUUUCCUAUUGGUAUGGAACCAUUUAAAAAAGUUCUCUGUCAUACAACACAUCAACUAAUGUCCAUUUCUGCAUAAUAAAUAAACAUAAAUCAGUCCACAGACUAU
Molecule: long non-coding RNA, 440 nt
Organism: Bombina bombina (fire-bellied toad)
Lineage: Eukaryota; Metazoa; Chordata; Amphibia; Anura; Bombinatoridae
Exons: 3
Source: RefSeq, a predicted model, not a curated record